Molecule: ribosomal RNA, 431 nt
Filed under: uncultured bacterium
Lineage: Bacteria
Description: partial 16S ribosomal RNA
Rfam family: Bacterial small subunit ribosomal RNA
Source: RNAcentral
AACGAACGCUGGCGGCAGGCCUAACACAUGCAAGUCGAGCGCCCCGCUAGGGGAGCUGCGGACGGGUGAGUAACGCGUGGGAAUAUGCCCUUUGCUACGGAAUAGUCUCGGGAAACUGGGGGUAAUACCGUAUACGCCCUUUGGGGGAAAGAUUUAUCGGCGAAGGAUUAGCCCGCGUUGGAUUAGGUAGUUGGUGGGGUAAUGGCCUACCAAGCCGACGAUCCAUAGCUGGUGUGAGAGGAUGAUCAGCCACACUGGGACUGAGACACGGCCCAGACUCCUACGGGAGGCAGCAGUGGGGAAUCUUAGACAAUGGGGGCAACCAUGAUCUAGCCAUGCCGCGUGAGUGAUGGAGGCCUUAGGGUUGUAAAGCUCUUUCAGCUGGGAAGAUAAUGACGGUACCAGCAGAAGAAGCCCCGGCUAACUCCGUG